Molecule: ribosomal RNA, 452 nt
Filed under: uncultured bacterium
Lineage: Bacteria
Description: partial 16S ribosomal RNA
Rfam family: Bacterial small subunit ribosomal RNA
Source: RNAcentral
AGCGAACGCUGGCGGCGUGCUUAACACAUGCAAGUCGAACGCUCGUAGCAAUACGAGAGUGGCGGACGGGUGAGUAACGCGUGGGAAUCUACCUAGCGGCGGGGAAUAACCUCGGGAAACUGAGGCUAAUACCGCAUACGUCCUUCGGGAGAAAGGCUUCGGCCACCGCUUGAGGAGCCCGCGUCCGAUAGCUAGUUGGUGAGGUAACGGCUCACCAAGGCGACGAUCGGUAGCUGGUCUGAGAGGAUGAUCAGCCACACUGGGACUGAGACACGGCCCAGACUCCUACGGGAGGCAGCAGUGGGGAAUAUUGGACAAUGGGGGCAACCCUGAUCCAGCAAUGCCGCGUGAGUGAUGAAGGCCUUAGGGUUGUAAAGCUCUUUUGGCAGGGACGAUGAUGACGGUACCUGCAGAAUAAGCCCCGGCUAACUUCGUGCCAGCCGCCGCCGUAA